GACGAACGCUGGCGGCGUGCUUAACACAUGCAAGUCGAGCGGUAAGGCCCUUUCGGGGGUACACGAGCGGCGAACGGGUGAGUAACACGUGGGUGACCUGCCCUCAGCUCUGGGAUAAGCCUGGGAAACUGGGUCUAAUACUGGAUAUGACUCCACGGUGCAUGUCGUGGGGUGGAAGGCCUUGUGCGGCUGAGGAUGGGCCCGCGGCCUAUCAGCUUGUUGGUGGGGUGANGGCCUACCAAGGCGACGACGGGUAGCCGGCCUGAGAGGGCGACCGGCCACACUGGGACUGAGACACGGCCCAGACUCCUACGGGAGGCAGCAGUGGGGAGUCUUGCGCAAUGGGCGAAAGCCUGACGCAGCGACGCCGCGUGAGGGAUGACGGCCUGGUGUAAC
This 396-nucleotide ribosomal RNA is filed under the name uncultured bacterium. Its description in RNAcentral is "bacterial SSU rRNA". It matches the Rfam family "Bacterial small subunit ribosomal RNA", at positions 28 to 429 of the family's 1533-position model. The record is from RNAcentral.